RNAcentral lists this ribosomal RNA (440 nucleotides) under uncultured bacterium. RNAcentral's name for it is "partial 16S ribosomal RNA". It matches the Rfam family "Bacterial small subunit ribosomal RNA", at positions 338 to 795 of the family's 1533-position model. The record is from RNAcentral.
CCUACGGGUGGCUGCAGUGGGGAAUAUUGGACAAUGGGCGCAAGCCUGAUCCAGCCAUGCCGCGUGAGUGGUGAAGGCCUUAGGGUUGUAAAGCUCUUUCACCCACGACGAUAAUGACGGUAGUGGGAGAAGAAGCCCCGGCUAACUUCGUGCCAGCAGCCGCGGUAAUACGACGGGGGCUAGCGUUGUUCGGAUUUACUGGGCGUAAAGCGUACGUAGGCGGACCGUUAAGUCGGAGGUGAAAUCCUGGGGAUAAACCCCAGAACUGCCUUCGAUACUGGCGGUCUCGAGUCCGGAAGAGGUGAGUGGAACUGCCAGUGUAGAGGUGAAAUUCGUAGAUAUUGGCAAGAACACCAGUGGCGAAGGCGGCUCACUGGUCCGGUACUGACGCUGAGGUACGAAAGCGUGGGGAGCAAACAGGAUUAGAUACCCGAGUAGUC